UACGUAGGGGGCGAGCGUUGUCCGGAUUCAUUGGGCGUAAAGAGCUCGUAGGCGGCUUGGUAAGUCGGAUGUGAAAACUCCAGGCUCAACCUGGAGCCGCCAUUCGAUACUGCUAUGGCUAGAGUCCGGUAGGGGAGUGUGGAAUUCCCGGUGUAGCGGUGAAAUGCGCAGAUAUCGGGAGGAACACCGAUGGCGAAGGCAGCACUCUGGGCCGGUACUGACGCUGAGGAGCGAAAGCGUGGGGAGCGAACAGG
This 254-nucleotide ribosomal RNA is filed under the name uncultured bacterium. Its description in RNAcentral is "partial 16S ribosomal RNA". It matches the Rfam family "Bacterial small subunit ribosomal RNA", at positions 524 to 776 of the family's 1533-position model. The record is from RNAcentral.